AACGAACGCUGGCGGCAGGCCUAACACAUGCAAGUCGAGCGCACCCUUCGGGGUGAGCGGCGGACGGGUGAGUAACGCGUGGGAACGUGCCCUUCUCUGCGGAAUAGCCUCGGGAAACUGAGAGUAAUACCGCAUACGCCCUUUGGGGGAAAGAUUUGUCGGAGGAGGAUCGGCGCGCGUUGGAUUAGGUAGUUGGUGGGGUAGUGGCGUACCAAGGCGUUGAUCGAUAGGUGGCUUGAGAGGGUGGUAGGACAAACUGGGAUUGAGAUACGGCCCAGACUGGUACGGGAGGCAGCAGUGGGGAAUAUGGAAGAAUGGGAGGAAGCCGGAUGCAGCAACGCUGCGUGCGGGAUGACGGCCUUCGGGUUGUAAACCGCUUUCGCCUGUGACGAAGCGUGAGUGACGGGAAUGGGUAAAGAAGCACCGGCUAACUAAGUG
RNAcentral lists this ribosomal RNA (438 nucleotides) under uncultured bacterium. RNAcentral's name for it is "partial 16S ribosomal RNA". It matches the Rfam family "Bacterial small subunit ribosomal RNA", at positions 29 to 507 of the family's 1533-position model. The record is from RNAcentral.